This 618-nucleotide ribosomal RNA is filed under the name Cryptococcus sp. AGG730. RNAcentral describes it as "eukaryotic LSU rRNA". It matches the Rfam family "Eukaryotic large subunit ribosomal RNA", at positions 38 to 642 of the family's 3401-position model. Lineage: Eukaryota; Fungi; Basidiomycota; Tremellomycetes; Tremellales; Cryptococcaceae. The record is from RNAcentral.
GCAUAUCAAUAAGCGGAGGAAAAGAAACUAACAAGGAUUCCCCUAGUAACGGCGAGUGAAGCGGGAAGAGCUCAAAUUUGAAAUCUGGCAGCCUUUGGUCGUCCGAGUUGUAAUCUAGAGAAGCGUUUUCCGCGUUGGCCCAUGUACAAGUCUGCUGGAAUGCAGCGUCAUAGAGGGUGAGAAUCCCGUCCUUGACAUGGACUACCAAUGCUCUGUGAUACGUUUUCAACGAGUCGAGUUGUUUGGGAAUGCAGCUCAAAAUGGGUGGUAAAUUCCAUCUAAAGCUAAAUAUUGGCGAGAGACCGAUAGCGAACAAGUACCGUGAGGGAAAGAUGAAAAGCACUUUGGAAAGAGAGUUAAACAGUAUGUGAAAUUGUUGAAAGGGAAACGAUUGAAGUCAGUCGUGGGCUUUGCAUUCAGCUGGUUCUGCCAGUGUACUUGCUUUGCUCGGGGUCAACAUCGGUUUUGGUCGUCGGAAAAGGCUUGGAGGAAUGUGCCACCCCCGGGUGAACUUAUAGCCUCUUUGCUUAUACGAUGGCUGGGACCGAGGAACGCAGCUUGCCUUUAUGGCCGGGGUUCGCCCACGUACAAGCUUAGGAUGUUGACAUAAUGGCUUAA